This 460-nucleotide ribosomal RNA is filed under the name uncultured bacterium. Its description in RNAcentral is "partial 16S ribosomal RNA". It matches the Rfam family "Bacterial small subunit ribosomal RNA", at positions 338 to 795 of the family's 1533-position model. The record is from RNAcentral.
CCUACGGGAGGCAGCAGUGAGGAAUAUUGGUCAAUGGACGAGAGUCUGAACCAGCCAAGUAGCGUGAAGGAUGACUGCCCUAUGGGUUGUAAACUUCUUUUAUAUGGGAAUAAAAUGUUCCACGUGUGGGAUUUUGUAUGUACCUUAUGAAUAAGGAUCGGCUAACUCCGUGCCAGCAGCCGCGGUAAUACGGAGGAUCCGAGCGUUAUCCGGAUUUAUUGGGUUUAAAGGGAGCGUAGGUGGAUUGUUAAGUUAGUUGUGAAAGUUUGGGGCUCAACCGUAAAAUUGCAGUUGAAACUGGCAGUCUAGAGUACAGUAGAGGUGGGCGGAAUGCGUGGUGUAGCGGUGAAAUGCUUAGAUAUCACGAAGAACACCGAUUGCGAAGGCAGCUUACUGGACUGCAACUGACGCUGAGGCACGAAAGUGUGGGUAUCAAACAGGAUUAGAUACCCCGGUAGUC